Molecule: non-coding RNA, 42 nt
Organism: Schistosoma curassoni
Lineage: Eukaryota; Metazoa; Platyhelminthes; Trematoda; Strigeidida; Schistosomatidae
Source: Rfam
CAGCUGACGAGUCCCAAAUAGGACGAAACGCGCGUCCUGGAU